UUUUUUUAUUGGUUAAGGUUAUACUUAUUAGUGUUAUUACUUACGUCUUACACUAAAUUGGAACUGAUACACAUUAGUAAUGUUUGCCAGGUGUGGUGUUAUCUUAAAGCAAGUAUUGUUUAAAAGAUAUAUUUUUUUAAAUAAUUUACUCGUUUGUUGUCAUCUUCUGCUUCAUAUUUCAAUUAUAAUGCACAAUAAAUAAACAAUAAUGAUGACAAAAGUACAAAAUAUACAUGUUAUUACUUUAUUAGGCAAUAAAUUAUUUUUAAUGAUAUAAUUUACAUCUUAAUAGUUGUUAAUAAUAACAUCAUUAAUAUGUUUCUUAAUUUCUUAAAAAUAUCAUGUAUCAGACGUUUUAAUACAUCUUUAAAACCAAAUUAAUCAACUUUCCCCGUAACUGCUUACCUAUUACUUAUAUAUAUAACCUAACCUAACCUUCCGUAGAGUGAUUACGCCAUCUCAUAGUUCCAGUAGCUCGUAAUUUGUAAAUAUAAUAUACCUAUUUAUAUUUAAUUAUCAAAUUAACACGAACUAAUACAUGUUGAUUUACAGUAAAACAAUAAAAAUCAAUCGUUUUUUUCCUUCGGCGAUAUAAUUACUUGGACUGUCUUUCAUUCACUUUGUGCGUACAUCUGUCCAACAAUAAUAUGACGACUUCUCGAGCAGCAACCGCAAAGUGCUGCCGUAACUCAGACCAAAUUACUAUAAUAAUAAUUUUUAUGUUAUGAUUUUUAGAGCGCAGCGCCGCGCCGUGGUUACUGUGUCGUAGACGUGUGGAACUACUUUAAAGUACUUUACACUAGUCGACAUAUCGUUCGAAUAACGGCGGUGACGAUAAUGACGACUACUACGGCAAGAAGUGUCAAGUGUUUAAUGACGUCUCUUGUUCACCAAAGUAGAUUUUUAUAUUUUACGUAUCAUUCGUAAUAUUAUUGAGUGUCAAGUCAACCAUAAUUUUGGAUUCAAAUGAUUGGCCCCAAAUCAAGUACAACCACAACAAUGAUGUCGAUUCAACAGCAGAUUUUCUAGACGAAUUAUUUGUAAACGACGCUUUGGUGACGACGACUCCUCCAGAAAAACAGACUAUGAUGAUCGAAACUUCUUCUGAAUGGACGAAUGACUUUGAAAAUUUUGAAGACUAUCCAUUGAAAAAUUCCAAGAUCAAGAUGGCAAGCACAAGGACAACUAUGACGACAACUACAUCGAAUACAACGACCAUGACAUCUACAUUAUCGCCAACGUUUAUGUCUUCGUUAACCACAUCUGCGUUGACGAUUACGUCUGCUACGACAACAGCCGGCACAUGUUAAUUUUUCAAUAUUAACGUUCAUUAGGUAUCAAAUAAGUUUGUCAUUAAAAUAUAUUAUUCAAAAAUUGUUUUGAUUUCGGUAGUAAUUUCAAAAAUAGUAGGUACGUGUGUGUAAUAUAUAAUAUAUAAUAUGUAUUUAUUCUUUUUUAUCAUAUAUCAUUUAUGUAUGUAAUUUAUUAUAUAUAUCUCUCUCUCUCACACACGACGCACACACUCUAGUUUACUACUUUCUUAUGUUUAGACGUAUUAACGUGUUAACGCAUGUAAGUACAUGUAUAUAUAUAUCUAUAUAUUAUAUAUGAGAAUUUA
This is an RNA transcript of Aphis gossypii (cotton aphid), 1618 nucleotides long. RefSeq lists it as uncharacterized. The record is from RefSeq and is a predicted model, not a curated record. Lineage: Eukaryota; Metazoa; Arthropoda; Insecta; Hemiptera; Aphididae. The transcript is spliced from 3 exons.